This 744-nucleotide ribosomal RNA is filed under the name uncultured organism. RNAcentral describes it as "bacterial SSU rRNA". It matches the Rfam family "Bacterial small subunit ribosomal RNA", at positions 13 to 796 of the family's 1533-position model. The record is from RNAcentral.
UUGAUCCUGGCUCAGGAUGAACGCUGGCGGUCUUGCUUAACACAUGCAAGUCGAACGCAACCUUCGGGUUGAGUGGCGGACGGGUGAGUAACGCGUGAGAAUCUGCCUUGGGGUCGGGGACAACCACUGGAAACGGUGGCUAAUACCGGAUAAGCCUUUGGGUAAAAGAUUUAUUGCCCCAAGAGGAGCUCGCGUCUGAUUGGCUAGUUGGUGAGGUAAGAGCUCACCAAGGCAGCGAUCAGUAGCUGGUCUGAGAGGACGAUCAGCCACACUGGGACUGAGACACGGCCCAGACUCCUACGGGAGGCAGCAGUGGGGAAUUUUCCGCAAUGGGCGAAAGCCUGACGGAGCAAGACCGCGUGAGGGAGGAAGGCUCUUGGGUUGUAAACCUCUUUUCUCAGGGAAGAAGCUCUGACGGUACCUGAGGAAUCAGCCUCGGCUAACUCCGUGCCAGCAGCCGCGGUAAAUACGGAGGAGGCAAGCGUUAUCCGGAAUUAUUGGGCGUAAAGCGUCCGCAGGUGGCGAUUCAAGUCUGCUGUCAAAGCAACGGGGCUUAACUCCGUUAAGGCAGUGGAAACUGAAUAGCUAGAGUGCCGUAGGGGUAGAGGGAAUUCCCCGGUGUAGCGGUGAAAUGCGUAGAGAUUCGGGAAGAACAUCGGUGGCGAAAGCGCUCUACUGGACGGCAACUGACACUCAGCGACGAAAGCUAGGGGAGCCGAAUGGGAUUAGAUACCCCAGUAGUCC